Molecule: small RNA, 181 nt
Filed under: Chrysemys picta bellii (western painted turtle)
Lineage: Eukaryota; Metazoa; Chordata; Testudines; Emydidae
Description: TUC338 (ENSCPBG00000019170.1)
Source: RNAcentral
CUGAGAGCUCGAUACACUAAUGUGUGCUAUUUAUCCACAGAACAGGUACAGCAAGAGCAACAGAGCUGCAGGCUUCUCCCAUGCUGCCCACCAGCAGUGUGCCCCAACACUGCUCUAGUGGGACCAUUCCUCGGGGAAAUAUUGUGCUGGGGUCUCCAUGCCCAUCUAGUCGCUGGUCUCA